CGUAACAAGGUUUCCGUAGUGGAACCCUGCGGAAGGAUCAUUGUCGAAACCUGCCCAGCAGAACGACCCGCGAACCCGUGUUAAACAUCGGGGGGUGCCCGAGCCUCGCGUUCGUGCGUCCCCCACCCGCGCGGUGCGGGGCGUCGGCGUGCGCUUUGGCGUGCGUCCGGCCUCCCGCGUCGUGCGAUAACGAACCCCGGCGCGGACCGCGCCAAGGAAAUCUUAACGAGAGAGCUUGCCCCCCGUCGCCCCGGGAACGGCGUGCGUGCGGGGYGGCCUGGCCUUCUUUCACGAUCCAAAACGACUCUCGGCAACGGAUAUCUCGGCUCUCGCAUCGAUGAAGAACGUAGCGAAAUGCGAUACUUGGUGUGAUUUGCAGAAUCCCGUGAACCAUCGAGUCUUUGAACGCAAGUUGCGCCCCAAGCCUUUAGGCCGAGGGCACGUCUGCCUGGGUGUCACGCAUCGUUGCCCCCCCUAACUCUCCGACCCCUCGCCCCGUSGCGGGCGCGGGGCCGAUCUGGGACGGGCGGAGACUGSCCUCCCGUGCGCUUCGGCUCGCGGUUGGCCCAAAUUCGAGUCCUCGGCGACGCUUCCCGCGACGAUCGGUGGUGUUUGACAAAACUGCCUCGAGCUCCCGUCGCGCGGUCGCGUCUCCGCUCGGGGACCCCGCGGACCCUGAAGCGUCGUACGCUCACGUCGCGACCCAGGUCAGGCGGGAUUUUUUUUAUUUAUUUUAUUUUUAUUUAAUU
This 749-nucleotide ribosomal RNA is filed under the name Spondias mombin (yellow mombin). Its description in RNAcentral is "eukaryotic LSU rRNA". The stretch from base 303 to 458 matches the Rfam family "5.8S ribosomal RNA". The record is from RNAcentral. Lineage: Eukaryota; Viridiplantae; Streptophyta; Magnoliopsida; Sapindales; Anacardiaceae.